Molecule: ribosomal RNA, 536 nt
Filed under: uncultured bacterium
Lineage: Bacteria
Description: bacterial SSU rRNA
Rfam family: Bacterial small subunit ribosomal RNA
Source: RNAcentral
AAUAGAUACCCGGGUAGUCCACGCUGUAAACGAUGGGCACUAGGUGUGGGGGGUGUCGACUCCCUCCGUGCCGAAGCUAACGCAUUAAGUGCCCCGCCUGGGGAGUACGGCCGCAAGGCUAAAACUCAAAGGAAUUGACGGGGGGCCCGCACAAGCAGCGGAGCAUGUGGUUUAAUUCGACGCAACGCGAAGAACCUUACCUGGGCUUGACAUGUUCCUGACCGUCCUGGAAACAGGGCUUCCCUUCGGGGCAGGAUCACAGGUGGUGCAUGGCUGUCGUCAGCUCGUGUCGUGAGAUGUUGGGUUAAGUCCCGCAACGAGCGCAACCCCGUCGCAUGUUGCCAGCAUUAAGUUGGGGACUCAUGCGAGACUGCCGGUGACAAACCGGAGGAAGGUGGGGAUGACGUCAAGUCAUCAUGCCCCUUAUGUCCAGGGCUACACACGUGCUACAUUGGCGCGUACAGAGGGCUGCGAUACCGCGAGGUGGAGCGAAUCCCUUAAAGCGCGUCUCGGUUCGGAUUGCAGGCUGAAACCCG